UGCAUGUCUAAGCACAAGCCGAAAAUGGUGAAGCCGCGAAUGGCUCAUUACAACAGCCUUGGUUUAUUUGAUCUUGAAAUCCUACUUGGAUAACUGUGGUAAUUCUAGAGCUAAUACACGCACACAAGCUUCAGCCUUGCGGCCGGAGCGCAUUUAUUAGUACAAAACCAAUCGGGCCUUGUGCCCGUUGUCUGGUGAAUCUGAAUAACUGAGCCGAUCGCACGGUCUCUGCACCGGCGACGUAUCAUUCAAGUGUCUGCCCUAUCAACUUUCGAUGGUAGUUUAUGUGACUACCAUGGUUGCAACGGGUAACGGAGAAUAAGGGUUCGACUCCGGAGAAGCAGCCUGAGAAACGGCUACUA
This 362-nucleotide ribosomal RNA is filed under the name Desmoscolecidae sp. 371_5-1000_X. RNAcentral's name for it is "SSU rRNA". It matches the Rfam family "Eukaryotic small subunit ribosomal RNA", at positions 52 to 412 of the family's 1831-position model. RNAcentral also lists the same sequence under 3 other names. Lineage: Eukaryota; Metazoa; Nematoda; Chromadorea; Desmoscolecida; Desmoscolecidae. The record is from RNAcentral.